RNAcentral lists this unclassified non-coding RNA (223 nucleotides) under uncultured Rhodanobacteraceae bacterium. RNAcentral describes it as "contains 16S-23S intergenic spacer region". The record is from RNAcentral. Lineage: Bacteria; Pseudomonadati; Pseudomonadota; Gammaproteobacteria; Lysobacterales; Rhodanobacteraceae.
UCCGGUUUGUCACCGGCGGUCUCCUUAGAGUUCCCACCAUUACGUGCUGGCAACUAAGGACAAGGGUUGCGCUCGUUGCGGGACUUAACCCAACAUCUCACGACACGAGCUGACGACAGCCAUGCAGCACCUGUGUUCCGAUUCCCGAAGGCACUCCCGCAUCUCUGCAGGAUUCCGGACAUGUCAAGGCCAGGUAAGGUGGGGAUGACGUAGCUAAGCCUUC